This 267-nucleotide unclassified non-coding RNA is filed under the name plant metagenome. RNAcentral describes it as "partial contains small subunit ribosomal RNA, internal transcribed spacer 1, and 5.8S ribosomal RNA". The record is from RNAcentral.
UUUCCGUAGGUGAACCUGCGGAAGGAUCAUUAUCGUACAAAAUGUGAGGGGCAUGCGAGGGCUGUCGCUGACCCAAAAGUCAUGCACGCCCGAGUGUGUCCUCCUGCAUAAUAAUCCAUCUCACCCUUUGUGCAUCACCGCGUGCGCACCCUUCGGGAUCAUCUCGGAGGGGGGCUCGCGUUUUCACACAAACCCCCCUUUUAAAAGUGUAGAAUGACCACAUUUAUGCAAUCAAUACAACUUUCAACAACGGAUCUCUUGGCUCUC